AGUUUGAUCAUGGCUCAGAUUGAACGCUGGCGGCAGGCCUAACACAUGCAAGUCGAGCGGUAGAGAGAAGCUUGCUUCUCUUGAGAGCGGCGGACGGGUGAGUAAUGCCUAGGAAUCUGCCUGGUAGUGGGGGAUAACGUUCGGAAACGGACGCUAAUACCGCAUACGUCCUACGGGAGAAAGCAGGGGACCUUCGGGCCUUGCGCUAUCAGAUGAGCCUAGGUCGGAUUAGCUAGUUGGUGGGGUAAUGGCUCACCAAGGCGACGAUCCGUAACUGGUCUGAGAGGAUGAUCAGUCACACUGGAACUGAGACACGGUCCAGACUCCUACGGGAGGCAGCAGUGGGGAAUAUUGGACAAUGGGCGAAAGCCUGAUCCAGCCAUGCCGCGUGUGUGAAGAAGGUCUUCGGAUUGUAAAGCACUUUAAGUUGGGAGGAAGGGCAUUAACCUAAUACGUUAGUGUUUUGACGUUACCGACAGAAUAAGCACCGGCUAACUCUGUGCCAGCAGCCGCGGUAAUACAGAGGGUGCAAGCGUUAAUCGGAAUUACUGGGCGUAAAGCGCGCGUAGGUGGUUUGUUAAGUUGGAUGUGAAAUCCCCGGGCUCAACCUGGGAACUGCAUUCAAAACUGACUGACUAGAGUAUGGUAGAGGGUGGUGGAAUUUCCUGUGUAGCGGUGAAAUGCGUAGAUAUAGGAAGGAACACCAGUGGCGAAGGCGACCACCUGGAC
Molecule: ribosomal RNA, 729 nt
Filed under: uncultured Pseudomonas sp.
Lineage: Bacteria; Pseudomonadati; Pseudomonadota; Gammaproteobacteria; Pseudomonadales; Pseudomonadaceae
Description: bacterial SSU rRNA
Rfam family: Bacterial small subunit ribosomal RNA
Source: RNAcentral